UACAGAGGUCUCAAGCGUUGUUCGGAUUCAUUGGGCGUAAAGGGUGUGUAGGUGGCGCGCUAAGUCGGGUGUGAAAUUUCGGAGCUUAACUCCGAAACUGCAUUCGAUACUGGCGUGCUUGAGGACUGGAGAGGAGACUGGAAUUCAUGGUGUAGCAGUGAAAUGCGUAGAGAUCAUGAGGAAGACCAGUGGCGAAGGCGGGUCUCUGGACAGUUCCUGACGCUGAGGAACGAAAGCUAGGGGAGCAAACAGG
This 253-nucleotide ribosomal RNA is filed under the name uncultured bacterium. RNAcentral describes it as "partial 16S ribosomal RNA". It matches the Rfam family "Bacterial small subunit ribosomal RNA", at positions 524 to 776 of the family's 1533-position model. The record is from RNAcentral.